This 447-nucleotide ribosomal RNA is filed under the name uncultured bacterium. RNAcentral's name for it is "partial 16S ribosomal RNA". It matches the Rfam family "Bacterial small subunit ribosomal RNA", at positions 29 to 523 of the family's 1533-position model. The record is from RNAcentral.
AACGAACGCUGGCGGCAGGCUUAACACAUGCAAGUCGAGCGCCCCGCAAGGGGAGCGGCAGACGGGUGAGUAACGCGUGGGAAUCUACCCAUCACUACGGAACAACUCCGGGAAACUGGAGCUAAUACCGUAUACGUCCUUCGGGAGAAAUGUUUAUCGGUGAUGGAUGAGCCCGCGUUGGAUUAGCUAGUUGGUGGAGUAAUUGCCCACCAAGGCGACGAUCCAUAGCUGGUCUGAGAGGAUGAUCAGGCACACUGGGACUGAGACACGGCCCAGACUCCUACGGGAGGCAGCAGUGGGGAAUAUUGGACAAUGGGCGCAAGCCUGAUCCAGCCAUGCCGCGUGAGUGAUGAAGGCCCUAGGGUUGUAAAGCUCUUUCACCGGUGAAGAUAAUGACGGUAACCGGAGAAGAAGCCCCGGCUAACUUCGUGCCAGCCGCCGCCGUAA